RNAcentral lists this ribosomal RNA (207 nucleotides) under uncultured bacterium. RNAcentral describes it as "partial 16S ribosomal RNA". It matches the Rfam family "Bacterial small subunit ribosomal RNA", at positions 568 to 774 of the family's 1533-position model. The record is from RNAcentral.
UGCGUAGGUGGGCAGGUAAGUCAGUGGUGAAAUCCUGUAGCUUAACUACAGAACUGCCAUUGAUACUAUUUGUCUUGAAUACCCUGGAGGUGAGCGGAAUAUGUCAUGUAGCGGUGAAAUGCUUAGAUAUGACAUAGAACAUCUAUUGCGAAGGCAGCUCACUACGGGAAUAUUGACGCUGAGGCACGAAAGCGUGGGGAUCAAACA